Pristionchus pacificus is the source of this 72-nucleotide non-coding RNA. The record is from Rfam. NCBI's taxonomy places the organism in Eukaryota, Metazoa, Nematoda, Chromadorea, Rhabditida, Neodiplogasteridae.
GGUUCUAUGGUGUAGCGGUUAACACUCUGGACUUUGAAUCCAGCAACCCGAGUUCGAAUCUCGGUAGAACCU